CUAUCCUAUAAGGGAAAAAAAGUCAGAAGGUACAAAAGUAAGGAAAAACAACAGUGAUACAAAUUGACAAAGAAUUGUCUGUCUGAAGUCACUUACUAAUUUUGAAAAGUGGGUUUUAUACAAUGUUAAGGAGUGUGAUUAUAUGAGUGUUAGGGUGGUGGCAAUGAUAACCCAUUUAAGAGAUAAAGUGUUGCUCUUUGAGACUUUCAGGGCUUUGGGGCUGCACUUUGCAAUAAAGUCUUUUGUGCAAAUAUGAAUGUGGGUAGACCACAACAAUCCUUUAAAAUUGAAUAUAUUUCCCAAUUGAUGUAUUUUAAAUCAUUCAAAUACCAUGUAAAUAACUAUUGAAAUGAUCUCCAUUCUAUUAAAUAGUGAAUCAUAAAUGCCGCAUCAUUUAUAGAAAUGCUGUGAAAAAAUUAAGGUGCCAUAUAACAAGUUAGAAUACACACACACACACACACACACACACACACAUACAACCAUAAUUUAGGCACAAAAUUGUGUCAUCUGUCCUCAUAGACUGAUAACAGCAGAAAUCAGUAUAUCGUUCAUAGUGGGAAAGUGAUUCCAACAGAAUAGAGCAAUUUUUAAUUAAUCUUUGUUGCUCAGCACAGUAGGAAAUUAAUCCAAGCUUUUACUUAAGCAAAUGACAGUUGGGGCUAAAGCAAUAGCACCAUGAUUGCUCAGAGCUGACAUAUCUUGCAAAUUGGCUGGAAAGCAUUAACUCGUCUAAAUUCCAGCAAUCGUCUAGCCACUACACAACAUACACAUAAUCAUGUAUGGAAAUGAAUAAUGACAGAAGAGGACACAGGUUUGCGGAGUGUGUGAAGAUGUAAAUUUAGAUAUAAGCAACUAAUUUACAGUCGAUACAUUACAGCACAUCCCACCUUAGACUGUAACCAAAUGAUAUGGGAGUCUGCUCAAUCCAUUAUCUAGAUAUUGAUUGGAAUUUCAAUGCACCAUCUUUAUCUUCUUAUGGUGCUUCAUCUUUAAAUCGGACUUGGAAAGGGCAUCUCUUGAAGCAGAGGAGUAUCUUCUGCCAGCCCUUCAAAUAAGGGACUUUGUUCUAUAAAGGCAGAUCUAUCCAAGCAAAAAUGCUUAACAUUUGCAGGUUGUUUCAACUACUAUGCAGUUAUUUCCCAAGUUCUGCAGGGUACAAUAAGGCUAAGACAAACUUUUAUGUACAGAUAUAGACAUAUGAGAUUGAACUGAAAUUCUUAAGCCUUCCCGUCAUCUCAGAUUGAUACCAUUCCAGUAGGUACAUUAUGCCAAGAUAUAUCAAGAGGAUGUCAUGUGGGAGGGGACACUGUUUGCAUGGAUAAUAUUUGUGAGUUUUUGACAUAGGAAGGAUAAUUGUAUCAUCAGUGAUGUCAUUAAAGCUUUUUGUUUUAUGUAACCCACACAUGGCUGGUCGAAUCAGUCGCAUACUAUUACUAGAUGAUGUGAGCUGAAGAAAUGUAUCUAAUUGAUCAGAAUCCUCACUUUCACUGAAAAAUAAAUGGGCUUGCUUCCAUUUCCAAUGUGUACUCUUUUGUAGAUACCAUAUUUAUUUCUGUAGUGAUCGUGCAGGAAAGCUUUUCACUGGAUUCCAGCCAUUGCGAUUACAUUCACGAUGUCUCAUACAAGUUUAGCUUUGAUUCUUCCCUGUGCUUGCAUGUAUUUUCUGAUUAAACUCUCGCCUUUGUUCUCCAGAAAGUUGAAUUAUUUAUUAUCCACACUGCUGUGCUUUGCUUUUUGUACGCUGAAAGCAUCACUAAAUUUAAUCAGAUCCCUAGAAGUCACCAUACACAUGUGACACGCCUGCACAUUAAUUUUGUUUUCUAUAGAUUGCUUGUGUCUUAUGGGCAGAAUGCAAGAUAUUCUUAACCUAGUGACAGACCAAUCUCCUGCAGCGCGCUGUGUUUCAUCCAAGGAAAGUAGGCCAUCUCUUCACAUUUAGUAUGCUGAAUACAUAUUUUAUCAGAGACGGAUGAGCAGGGUAAUGCAGGCACUAGGUCUUUCUGAAUAAGCAGUAUUUCUUCUGGCAAAGAUUGUCAGUGAGCAGCAUUCUUUGAUCAAGUAAAGGCCCAGUGUUGCUGGUAAUACUCUGUUGGGAAUUAUUAAUACAGUACAACCUCCAUAUUUGUGGGGAAUACAUUACAAUGCUCACAUACUGUAAUGACAAACCCUAUAUUUUGACUAUACUUGGGCUGGAAGUAUACCAUAGAAUCACACUGGGGAGCCCAAAACCACUUAUGGGGGCAGUGGUGGUAUUUUUGGAGCAUGGGUAAGCAAAACCAUGGAUAUCAAAUCUGAGGAUAAGGGGGCCAUACGGUAUUCAGUGUAAAAGUGCAAGGACAUCCUAUUUUACUCUGGUUAAUGAGAUUAUUACCAUGCCCUGUGUCCUGUACUCCAAACUGCUAAUACCAGAAUAUCAUUAUGGUCACACUUUGCUUCAAAAUGUGAACUAAAAGAAAAAGAAAACCCUGGCCUCCAUUUAUCACUUUGGUUAUUGUUCCUAUUAAGGGUGUUAAGAGGCAACUAAUUUACAUUUCAGGGUUUUGAGUACGCUCUUAAAAGGCUUUCUCCCUUUCAAUCGAUAAUAAAAUCCUCUGCGGGUUUCUAGAACACUGGAUCAAUUAUUUUAGGCUGAAAUUAUAAUUAGUUGACUCUAGAUGGAUCUUAUUACCGUCAAUUGGAACAUGUUGGUGAAAGCAGAUUAUUGAUUGUAGAACUGUACAGGAGCAGGAUAAUUUGUGACAAAUAUAUAUGUUGUUUGUGUUCAUCAGUUAUUCUGUAUCAUUUGCUGACUGUGUUACAGCUAAAAAGAUGUAAAAGAACUACAAGAAUCUCUUUUUACUCUCUAAGGCAUAAAUUAUACAUUACAGUUAAUUGACAAUAAAAGAGGAAUUAGCAGGUAUUCCCAUCUUGGAUAUUAUACCAUAAUGCAAAUGCCAGAGCACGUUGACCAUGAUCCAGGACCAUUCUUCUCCUCGGGUAGAAAGACAAUCCUAAUUAAAGUAUUACAGUACUUAUUAUACUAGCUCUCUAUUAUGGGAAAACAUUAGGGUAACACACAUUAAUUUUCCCCACUUUGGGAAAUUUCAAAGUAACUCAUAUGUAUACCAGAUCAAUAAUCUUAUAUUUACAAGGUUAAGAAAAAUGUUGCUUCUAUUGCAGAUAUUGUCUUUGUGCAGCCUGUCGAUGCUAUGCUGGAUUUACUAUUUCCUGCAUAGGAAAGCUGCAAGAAAGAAUGUGCUUAGUGCAAAUGAAUUUUUGCAAAGAAUCUCAUGUCUGUUCCGCAUUUUCACAGUGACUUGUCUCAAUGGUAAUGAUCCCCAUUUUUCAUCAAGGAUGAGAAACUGUAAGGAUUUCUAAUCUGUAUGUUGUAGGGCUGGCCCAUAUUGUUUGGACAAUCUCUUAUAUAACACAUUGUUUCUCACUCCUGGUUUAAGAGGUGUGUGCACUGUAUUUACAUAAGCACAAUAUUUGCCCAACUGUCUGAGAUAAAGUCUGAUAAUUUUUUAAAAAAUGACUCACUUGUAGCAAUGAUAUGACUCCUUGGCAACAUUAUCUUCCAAGACCCACCUGAAAAAAUGACGUGUUUAUUAAUCAGUUAGAUUAUUUUUCCUACUUUGUGAAGGUUAAAACAGUGCAGAAACUAGAAAAAAUGUGCACCAUAGUCAUAUUUUCCCGAAGACAGCAACAUUCCAUCAAGUUGUCUUGGUGAAGAAUGAGCUUGUGAUUUGCAACUUAACUAUACUAAACAAUAACCAAAACCAAAACCUUGUUUUUAGACCUAUCCAUGACUAUAGUGAUUUUAAAAGCACUGGAAAGUUUUAUAUCUCUAUGUAAACACUUUAAAUAAAUUUCAUGCUCUCAAACAGUACCUUUAUAUUCUCCAACCUUUCACAGAUGAAAAUAUGAGGCCAAGCAAUGUUAGAGGAUGGUAACGAUGGAUAAAGUUAUGAAGGAGGAAAAACGCACAAACCAGGCAAGGCUGCAGCAGUUUGCUUUUACCUGAGCCUACAGAGAAGUGCAAGAGUGGGUUAAUACUGUCUUUUAUUAUGAUAAAUAUAAUUUGUUUUUGUUUAUUCGUUCAGUCGCUUCUGACUCUUUGUGACCUCAUGGACCAGCCCACGCCACAGCCCUGUCGCCGUCGCCACCCCCAGUUCCUUCAAGGUCAAGCCAGUCACUUCAAGGAUACCAUCCAUCAGUUUUUCCUUCCAUUUCCCCCAGCAUCAUUAUUUUCUAUAAGCUUUCCUGUCCUGUCAUUUGUAUGUUUCUAAUUCAAAACAAAUAUAUUUACUCAUUGAUUUAUAUUGAAUUUGCUUGAUUUCUCUGCCAAAUUUAACUUAACUUGUUUAUUUUUGGUGCAUAGCUCUCAAACAGAAAAAUGGCUACAAGAAUCAUGGGACUGGAUGAACAAACCACAGUGAACAGUUCUAAUUAUUUCUGAUGAAGGAUGUCUUGAUCACUUUCUGUGGUUUAAAGAUCACUUGUGUCGACUGAAUGGGUGGAGCUGCUCAGAUAAAACACAGGUGGAUCAAAGUUUAGUCUGCAUAUUCUCGCUUGGUGAAAGAGAAGAUGAUGUGUCACAUCGCCCAGAUACAUAUUUCUUUUUGAAGAAACACCAGACUCAACCAGAAAAUCCUUGUCCUCAUCCUCAGAGACUUCACAGGCCUCAACACUGUCUGACUCUACAGCAGCAAUUCUCAAACUUUGGAACUUCAGGCUUUUGGACUACACUUCUUAGUGGUUAGGAAUUCUAGCAGCUGAAGUCCUAAACCCUUGAAGGACAAUAGUUUAAGAACCACUGUUGUUCCAUUCUUGUCUACCGAAUAUGAGCAAUCUGUUGCGCCAAAAAAGCCAUAGAAAAUCACCCCAAUCUGUCUAUGACCACAUCCUUUGGCUCUGGGUCUUGCUCCUUGUCUUAGUUUGAUCCUGACACUCCACCACAUCUACUUUCGACUAUGUCACUUAUGUCUGGCAGUUUCAAUCUAUCAGUGUAAUGUUCAAGCUUUGUCGCAGGCUGCCCACUUUUCCCACAGCAAAAGCUAGAAUAAAUGUUGUUGGAAUAAUCCUCAUUGUUCCAAUUGCCUUGAUGACCAUGAUGUUUUCAACUGAAGUCACAAAGCUCAUUCUGCCAAAGACUGGAACAAAAUUUCAUUUUCUUCAUUAACUAUUUUAGUGGUCUCUAAUGGAUCAAAAGGAAGUUUCCCAAAACUGAAAAUAAAACACAAUUUCUCAAAACCCAGAUUGUUCUUUUAAAUCAUUCAAGCUGCUGACCUUAAAAUUUUGAAGUCAGUACAUAUGUCCUGCAAAUCAAUGUUUUCACUUCCUCUAAGAACUUCCCAAACUCAUAGAGUGUAGAGGCAAUUUGGAGACCAGAUUUUAAUUUAAAACCACAUUUUCAAACAUUUUCAGUUUCUGAAACUGAAUCAUUGAGGUAGUCGUUUUGAAUCAAUUGAUUGCCCUUGCUGUGAUUUGUUCCUAUGAUAAGUCUUGUACCUGGGCUUGGCUUGAUGCUAGCCAGAAUCAUAUCAUGUUUUGCCCAGUCAGAUUCAAAGGGCCAUUCAAACACCCUGCUUGAAUCCACAGUGUGUGAGUUACUUCUUAAAUCACAGUGAUCAGACCCUUUGACUAAUAGGCUUACAUCUGACAUUGGGACACCUUGUCCCUUGCCUUUGCUUUCUUUUUGUGGCAAAGUAUAAUUUUGCAUAAAUGCAGAUUAUCUCCUAAAACACAAAGAAUAAUAUGUUACAGAUGUCCACCUGUUCCCACUUACUUGCAUGUGUGGUCCUGUAUCUUCCAUUGCAUUCAUUGAAGCCUCAACACACAUCUCAAUUUAGAGUAGCAUCAGAGUUUGCAAAUAUUUUGACUAAGAGCAUUCCAGCUUUGAAGCAGAAGCAUACAAUAUGAUCAUCAACAUGUAACUGAUGGAAAUUGGAACCUCUAAAAGUUACUUUCCAGAACUACAAAUCACAUAGCAAAAUAACUGUGCUAACUGUGGGAAUUUUGUUAGCUACCAUAUAAAGAUUAUAGACAAGCCCUCCCUGUUCCCAUGAAGGAACUAUGUACAAGAGGAAAAACGUAGAAGAAAAGCACAUAUGGUUCUUAGAUUUUAGGCCUUAGCUCUGGGUCUCAGGUCAUGGCCAUUCCUUUACAGUCCUCAGCGUAAAAGUGAGAACUGUAAAAGAAUUGCCAUGAUCUGAGACCCAGAUGGAGGUCUGUCCUGGCUCCAUCCUGGACACAUCCUUGCUUAGAACGGGGCCAGGCAGCGGAAAGCUGAGAGGUGACACUUCCCCCUGUGUAAUGGGAAAGCAGCGAUGUGGGCAAUGCAGGGUGACGGUUUCCCACGCUGCCCCAUGGAUUCAUCAUGCUGCCCGUCAAAUCCCCCUGUUGUUGUCUGAGUUUUGGACCUCAAUGUGACGAUGUCCUAAGUGAAACUGUAUACUGGAGCUGCAGAUAUGCAUUUUACAGUACUUCUUCAUUACUUGUUACCAGGACCUCUUGUUAUGAACUGCCUUCAAGAUAACUUUGACUUAUGACUAAUAUUGGAAAAAGGUUUAUUUUUAAAAUGUCCUUGUUCUAAUAUUUCUGCCCCUAUAUAAUGUUAGCUUUUUUUUUGCAUCCAGCUAAUGUGUCUUACACCAGGGGAAAGACUUGCAACUUUCAUUUCAUUAUUUUUCUUUGGUGGGCUGUACAUGGAUAAUAAUAGCUUUAAGCAUCUGGUUCACAUGAAAAUAGACAAAAUGGGACCCACAAAUGAGGGAAGGGAGAUUAUUAUAUAGGAACGUACACCAUUGUCAUAGUUUUCUAAUAUAAUUGUAUUGUUGUAAGUAAUUUUACAUCUGUUUCUGAUUAUAUAGUGAUGAUGCCAAGAAGAAUAAGGAGGAUGGGGAGGAGAGGAAACUCUUUUUAAAGAAUGUUGGUGAUUAUGUCAAAAAAAGAGGGAGGGAAAUUGUAUAUUAUAGUUCUAAGCAUGCAAUAAAGACACAGGUAUCAAGA
This is a long non-coding RNA of Anolis carolinensis (green anole), 6990 nucleotides long. RefSeq lists it as uncharacterized. The record is from RefSeq and is a predicted model, not a curated record. The transcript has 2 exons. NCBI's taxonomy places the organism in Eukaryota, Metazoa, Chordata, Lepidosauria, Squamata, Anolidae.